UACAGAGGAGCCAAGCGUUGUCCGGAUUGACUGGGCGUAAAGCGCACGCAGGCGGACGCGCGCGUGGGGUGUGAAAUCUGGCCGCUUAACGGCCAGGCGCCAUCCCAUACGGCGCGACUGGAGUGAUGCAGAGGUCGAUGGAAUUGCCGGUGUAGUGGUGAAAUGCGUAGAGAUCGGCAGGAACACCCAGGGGUAAACCAGUCGACUGGGCAUCUACUGACGCUGAGGUGCGAGAGCGUGGGGAGCGAACCGG
RNAcentral lists this ribosomal RNA (253 nucleotides) under uncultured bacterium. RNAcentral's name for it is "partial 16S ribosomal RNA". It matches the Rfam family "Bacterial small subunit ribosomal RNA", at positions 524 to 776 of the family's 1533-position model. The record is from RNAcentral.